UGGGGAAUUUUGGACAAUGGGCGAAAGCCUGAUCCAGCCAUGCCGCGUGCAGGAUGAAGGCCUUCGGGUUGUAAACUGCUUUUGUACGGAACGAAAAGGUUUGGCCUAAUAAGCUGAGCUCAUGACGGUACCGUAAGAAUAAGCACCGGCUAACUACGUGCCAGCAGCCGCGGUAAUACGUAGGGUGCGAGCGUUAAUCGGAAUUACUGGGCGUAAAGCGUGCGCAGGCGGUGAUGUAAGACAGAUGUGAAAUCCCCGGGCUCAACCUGGGACCUGCAUUUGUGACUGCAUCGCUGGAGUGCGGCAGAGGGGGAUGGAAUUCCGCGUGUAGCAGUGAAAUGCGUAGAUAUGCGGAGGAACACCGACGGCGAAGGCAAUCCCCUGGGCCUGUACUGACGCUCAUGCACGAAAGCGUGGGGAGCAAACA
Molecule: ribosomal RNA, 427 nt
Filed under: uncultured bacterium
Lineage: Bacteria
Description: bacterial SSU rRNA
Rfam family: Bacterial small subunit ribosomal RNA
Source: RNAcentral